Molecule: ribosomal RNA, 460 nt
Filed under: uncultured bacterium
Lineage: Bacteria
Description: partial 16S ribosomal RNA
Rfam family: Bacterial small subunit ribosomal RNA
Source: RNAcentral
CCUACGGGAGGCUGCAGUGAGGAAUAUUGGUCAAUGGACGAGAGUCUGAACCAGUCAAGUAGCGUGAAGGAUGACUGCCCUAUGGGUUGUAAACUUCUUUUAUAAAGGAAUAAAACGAGGCACGUGUGCCUUUUUGCAUGUACUUUAUGAAUAAGGAUCGGCUAACUCCGUGCCAGCAGCCGCGGUAAUACGGAGGAUCCGAGCGUUAUCCGGAUUUAUUGGGUUUAAAGGGAGCGUAGAUGGGUUGUUAAGUCAGUUGUGAAAGUUUGCGGCUCAACCGUAAAAUUGCAAUUGAUACUGGCAGUCGUGAGUACAGUUGAGGUAGGCGGAAUUCGUGGUGUAGCGGUGAAAUGCUUAGAUAUCACGAAGAACCCCGAUUGCGAAGGCAGCUUACUAAACUGUGACUGACAUUGAUGCUCGAAAGUGUGGGUAUCAAACAGGAUUAGAUACCCCUGUAGUC